This 330-nucleotide unclassified non-coding RNA is filed under the name soil metagenome. RNAcentral describes it as "partial contains 5.8S ribosomal RNA, internal transcribed spacer 2, and large subunit ribosomal RNA". The stretch from base 1 to 120 matches the Rfam family "5.8S ribosomal RNA", at positions 35 to 154 of the family's 154-position model. The record is from RNAcentral.
GAUGAAGAACGUAGCGAAAUGCGAUAAGUAGUGUGAAUUGCAGAAUUCAGUGAAUCAUCGAAUCUUUGAACGCACAUUGCGCCCCUUGGUAUUCCAUGGGGCAUGCCUGUUCGAGCGUCAUUUGUACCCUCAAGCUUUGCUUGGUGUUGGGCGUCUUGUCGUAUUACGACUCGCCUUAAAUACAUUGGCAGCCGGCACUUUGGCCUAGGAGCGCAACACAUUUUGCGAUCGUAGCCCGUUGUACUGGCGUCCAUCAAGAACAUUUACCACGUUUGACCUCGGAUCAGGUAGGGAUACCCGCUGAACUUAAGCAUAUCAAUAAGCGGAGGA